AUGGCCUGGGUUCCUGUCCUCCUUGUGAUCCUCUGUUACUGCACAGGUUCCCGGUCCCAGCCUGUGCUGACCCAGCCAUCAUUCCUCUCUGCAUCUCUGGGAACGACUGCCAGACUCACCUGCACCCUGAGCAGGGACAUCAACGUGGGCAGCUAUACCAUUUACUGGUACCAGCAGAUGCCUGGGAGCUCUCCCCGGUAUCUCCUGUACUACUCCUCAAGUACACAGUUGGGAUCCGGGGUCUCCAACCGCUUCUCUGGAUCCAAAGAUUCCUCGGCCAAUGCAGGGCUUCUGCUAAUCUCUGGGCUGCAGCCUGAAAACGAGGCUGACUACUACUGUGCAGUCUGGGCCAGUGGUGUUGGGCACAGUGACACACACAGAUGA
Non-coding RNA from Suricata suricatta (meerkat), 384 nucleotides. The record is from the annotation of a RefSeq genome assembly. NCBI's taxonomy places the organism in Eukaryota, Metazoa, Chordata, Mammalia, Carnivora, Herpestidae.